UCUUCGACGACUUUUUCUUCUCUGAUGCCCGUUCCUUCUCCGAAUAAAAAUCGCUGCCACCAUUGAGCUUGUCGCCUCUAUUGUGAUUUGGCGUUGGUUUUGGAAACCUUCUUCAACCUCUCUCCUUCAAAAGUCAAUCGGCAUCCUUGGCGUUGGUUUGGCAGAGAGAAAGUGAUUGAGGAAGAUCACAGAUUUCUCAUUGUUUUUCUCAUCUUCUUUUCUUUUUCUGAAUCCUUCCCAUAUUCAUCCAAAGGCAUGCUCAUCCACUUUCUGUAGAGAUGCUCGGAACAGACAAAUUUAUUAAAGUUAUUGAUUAUAUACGCCGGUCCAUUCAACGGGACACCUUGUUUGUAUUUGUCAACAGUGCAUUCUCACCGGGUCCAGAUGAGACAGUUAUUGAUCUAUAUAAUGUGAGUUGAUAUUGACUCAUUUCUUCUCUUUAUGUUCAAGUUGCGUUUGUACACUGUUUACAUUAACUUUUAGAAGAAAAAAAAAAAGAGGUGAGGGAUGUGUGUGUGUGUGUUGGGGGGAGGGUGAAUUGGUUGGAAUCUAUCUUAAAAAAAAAUCUAUUUAUUGGCCGGUCAAAGCCUGUCAUCUAAACUUAGGGGGUAUAUUCAUUGAAGGUGUAGUGUAGACUUAUGAUGUUGAUGCUGGUCAUGAAUCAUUCUUGAAAAUACCCAUCAUUGUAUAUUUUUAUGAGGUGAAGGGAAAAGGCUUGAGCAAUCAAAAUUUGAAAACUUUCUGAAGCAGGAUAUCUGUAAGAACUCUUAGAUUAUCAUGAAACAAAUAUAGCAUAAGAUCAGAUGAGUAACCUUGGAUGGACGCAAAUCACUGGAUGUAAACUAUCCACCUGAAUUUUUAUCGGUUUUCUCAGAAAGUGACAGAUUGUCAACUUCGUCACAGAGUAUGGAAGAAGUAGAGGCUGAAAUGAGGAGGCUGAAGUUGGAACUAAAGCAAACCAUGGAAAUGUAUAGCACAGCCUGCAAGGAAGCACUAACAGCCAAACAAAAGGGAGAUAUCACUAAACAAAUGACUGCAAUAGAAGAAAUGGUUGCAAGUGAGUACAAUUAGCCAGACCCUUAUCUUUGUGACAAGAUCUUGAAGAUGGUCAUUUGUGAAGCGUUCUAGUUUGCUAUUAGUUGCAAUUUUAGUUAUUGCUCUCUCAAUAUAUUCUUUUUCUUUCUUUCUUUCUUUUUUUCCAAAGGAUGAUCAGUGUAUAAUAAUUAAGCUUCAUAAUUUCUUUGUAUUUGGAGCCAAGUUGUAUAUAAAUGUACACAUUAUUAAGAUUU
Cucumis melo (muskmelon) is the source of this 1289-nucleotide long non-coding RNA. RefSeq lists it as uncharacterized. NCBI's taxonomy places the organism in Eukaryota, Viridiplantae, Streptophyta, Magnoliopsida, Cucurbitales, Cucurbitaceae. The record is from RefSeq and is a predicted model, not a curated record. The transcript is spliced from 5 exons.